UACGUAGGCAGCAAGCGUUGUUCGGAGUUACUGGGCGUAAAGGGUGUGUAGGCGGUUCUUUAAGUUUGCUGUGAAAUCUCCCGGCUUAACCGGGAGGGUGCGGUGAAUACUGAGGGACUAGAGUACGGGAGAGGAAAGUGGAAUUCCUGGUGUAGCGGUGAAAUGCGUAGAUAUCAAGAGGAACACCUGAGGUGAAGACGGGUUGCUGGGCCGACACUGACGCUGAGUGCGCGAAAGCCAGGGGAGCAAACGGG
RNAcentral lists this ribosomal RNA (254 nucleotides) under uncultured bacterium. RNAcentral describes it as "partial 16S ribosomal RNA". It matches the Rfam family "Bacterial small subunit ribosomal RNA", at positions 524 to 776 of the family's 1533-position model. The record is from RNAcentral.